AACCAUGAUGGGGACAUUUGCGUAGGAGACCCUUGAAUCUUUCAUGUGCCUUAAAGAGUGUGUCGGGGUCUCCCUACCUGAAAGCUGAAAUCUCUUGCCUCAGGCU
This is a small nucleolar RNA of Dioscorea cayenensis subsp. rotundata (Guinea yam), 106 nucleotides long. NCBI's taxonomy places the organism in Eukaryota, Viridiplantae, Streptophyta, Magnoliopsida, Dioscoreales, Dioscoreaceae. The record is from RefSeq and is a predicted model, not a curated record.